Molecule: ribosomal RNA, 497 nt
Filed under: uncultured bacterium
Lineage: Bacteria
Description: partial 16S ribosomal RNA
Rfam family: Bacterial small subunit ribosomal RNA
Source: RNAcentral
GAUGAACGCUGGCGGCGUGCCUAAUACAUGCAAGUCGAGCGAACAGACGAGGAGCUUGCUCCUCUGACGUUAGCGGCGGACGGGUGAGUAACACGUGGAUAACCUACCUAUAAGACUGGGAUAACUUCGGGAAACCGGAGCUAAUACCGGAUAAUAUAUUGAACCGCAGGGUUCAAUAGUGAAAGACGGUUUUGCUGUCACUUAUAGAUGGAUCCGCGCUGCAUUAGCUAGUUGGUAAGGUAACGGCUUACCAAGGCAACGAUGCGUAGCCGACCUGAGAGGGUGAUCGGCCACACUGGAACUGAGACACGGUCCAGACUCCUACGGGAGGCAGCAGUAGGGAAUCUUCCGCAAUGGGCGAAAGCCUGACGGAGCAACGCCGCGUGAGUGAUGAAGGUCUUCGGAUCGUAAAACUCUGUUAUUAGGGAAGAACAAAUGUGUAAGUAACUAUGCACGUCUUGACGGUACCUAAUCAGAAAGCCACGGCUAACUACGUG